Molecule: ribosomal RNA, 253 nt
Filed under: uncultured bacterium
Lineage: Bacteria
Description: partial 16S ribosomal RNA
Rfam family: Bacterial small subunit ribosomal RNA
Source: RNAcentral
UACGUAGGUGACAAGCGUUGUCCGGAUUUACUGGGCGUAAAGAGCGCGCAGGCGGUCUGUCAAGUCGAGUGUGAAAGCCCCCGGCUCAACUGGGGAGGGUCACUCGAUACUGAUCGACUCGAAGGCAGGAGAGGGAAGUGGAAUUCCCGGUGUAGUGGUGAAAUGCGUAGAUAUCGGGAGGAACACCAGUGGCGAAGGCGACUUCCUGGCCUGUUCUUGACGCUGAGGCGCGAAAGCUAGGGGAGCAAACGGG